Molecule: ribosomal RNA, 255 nt
Filed under: Salmonella enterica
Lineage: Bacteria; Pseudomonadati; Pseudomonadota; Gammaproteobacteria; Enterobacterales; Enterobacteriaceae
Also listed under: 1 other name
Description: partial 16S ribosomal RNA
Rfam family: Bacterial small subunit ribosomal RNA
Source: RNAcentral
GCCGCAAGGUUAAAACUCAAAUGAAUUGACGGGGGCCCGCACAAGCGGUGGAGCAUGUGGUUUAAUUCGAUGCAACGCGAAGAACCUUACCUGGUCUUGACAUCCACAGAACUUUCCAGAGAUGGACUGGUGCCUUCGGGAACUGUGAGACAGGUGCUGCAUGGCUGUCGUCAGCUCGUGUUGUGAAAUGUUGGGUUAAGUCCCGCAACGAGCGCAACCCUUAUCCUUUGUUGCCAGCGAUUAGGUCGGGAACUC